AUACGAAAGGUGCAAGCGUUGUUCGGAUUUACUGGGCGUAAAGAGAGUGUAGGUGGUUUAUUAAGUCGGAUGUGAAAUCCCGGGGCUCAACCUCGGAACUGCGUUCGAUACUGAUAGGCUAGAGUUUGGGAGGGGUAAGCGGAAUUCCGUGUGUAGCAGUGAAAUGCGUAGAUAUACGGAGGAACACCUGAGGCGAAGGCGGCUUACUGGACCAAUACUGACACUGAGACUCGAAAGCGUGGGUAGCAAACAGGAUUAGAAACCCCUGUAGUCC
This 274-nucleotide ribosomal RNA is filed under the name uncultured bacterium. RNAcentral's name for it is "partial 16S ribosomal RNA". It matches the Rfam family "Bacterial small subunit ribosomal RNA", at positions 523 to 796 of the family's 1533-position model. The record is from RNAcentral.